Molecule: ribosomal RNA, 139 nt
Filed under: uncultured bacterium
Lineage: Bacteria
Description: partial 16S rRNA
Rfam family: Bacterial small subunit ribosomal RNA
Source: RNAcentral
GGGAAUUUUCCGCAAUGGGCGAAAGCCUGACGGAGCAAUGCCGCGUGGAGGUGGAAGGCCUACGGGUCGUCAACUUCUUUUCUCGGAGAAGAAACAAUGACGGUAUCUGAGGAAUAAGCAUCGGCUAACUCUGUGCCAA